CUAUAAGAGAGAAGCUCCUGACCUAAUUAGGCCAGAAGCUCCUCUCAGGUUUAUUCUCCAAAAUAAACCUGUCUUUGACUGUUGAGUUGCUUUUUGUGUUUCUUUCUUCCUUCUUCAACUCUUACAGAAGGGAGUGAAGAAAGGGAGGCCAAGGCAGAGACAGAGAUUCAAGGCAAAUUCAUGUUCUCAGUCUCAGAAGAGAAGAUGCCAGGACACAAGUCAGUAAGACUUGAGAAUGCCGCACUGAAGAGCUGGCAGUGUUGACAUUUUGGCUUCUGUUAUUAAUAAUGAGGAUGGUGAUGAUGAUAGUAGCCAUUUAUGGAGUGACGACUGUUUACUAGGCACUGAGCUAAGUACAGUACAUGGAUGAUUAAAACACAGGAGCAGAAAGUAUCCUUCACAACUGUCAUAUACUGAGUCCUCCAAAGCUUAAACAGUUAUGUGACUGCCAUGAAGCCUUUCCACGUGGCUGUGGAUGACUACCUGUGAUGUGCCCGUGCUCCAGUCCAGCCCACUACCUCUUCAGAAAAGAUGGCUGCUUGGUUUUAGAAACUAGACACCAAAUAACAAGAUUAUUCUAAUUUAUAUUGCUUGGGUGCUAUAUAUACAUAUAUAUAUAUAUAUGAUUUGAUGAACUGUAUUUUCCACUUCAUAGCUCAGUUCUCCUUUUCCUUUGAAUAAUGAAUUCCAUUUUGACAAUUCCUCAGGGUGACUUCUAUGGCUACUCAAGCCAAGCCUUGCCCUGGUGGGUAUCAAGUCCCUCAGCCCCACCACCAGCUCCCACUUGAAGGAAUGAGGCUCUGAUAUGGCAGAAGUUCAGAGCAGAGUCUUUUCAGCAGGAACAGGACAAAGCCAGAGACAGUGGGAGUGAAGAUGGGGACAAAGAAAGCAGAAUAAUUUUACCUGAGAAGAAACCAGGAGGCUUCUUCUUCUUCUUCUCUCUUUUUUUUUUUUUUUUUUUUGACUAUACAGAAGAAAACUAUCAGAGUUAGGUUAGAGAGUUGGGUUUGGGGUCAGGUUGUAGCAUGUGUUAUAUUAUGGGUUAAAUUGUGUCCUCCCCAAAAUUAAUAUGUUGAAGUCUUAACUCCCUGUACCUCAGAAUGUGACCUCAUGGGGAAAUAAGGUCAUUGCAAUAUAAUUAGGUAAAAUAAGGUCAUACUAGAAGAGGGUAGGCCCCUAAUCCAAUGUGACUGGUGUCGUUAUUACAAAGGGAAAUUUGGACAGAGACACACAUGGGGAAAAUGCCAGGUAAAGAUGAAACCAGAGAUCAGAGUGAUGCUUCCACAAACCAAGGAAUGCCAGAGAUUGUCAGCAAACCAUGUCAAGCUAGGGAGGGUCUUCCUCACAAACCCCAGGGACAAACAAUGCCAAUACCUUGAUCUUGAACUUCUCACCUCGAGAAUUGUGAGACAAUAAAUGUUUGUUGUUUAAGCCAAUUGGUUUGUGGUACUUUAUUAGGGCAGCCCAAGGAAACUGAUACAUGUUUAAAGAUUGUUUGACCUUUAUUUUAUAGGCAAAAGGAAAGCACAGAAAAAGUCAGGGCAGAGAUAUGAUCUGACCAAUUAAUCUGGUUUCCAUAUGUUAAAUUGACUAAACGGGGUGUGUAGGGGCUAGACUGGAUGGAGUCCACAACACAACUGCAAACUACAGUGUCUGGUGCCUAGUAGGUGAUCAAUAAAUAAUUUUAUCUUAUAUUUCCUAGUUCUUAAUAUCUGACAUAGUUCUUGCAUCACAUUUAAUGAUUGCAACCACCCCAUAAGGGAGAUAGUAUAUCUCGUUUACAAAUGAGCAAAUUGAUGUUGAAGAAUGGUGAGAGAUGGAGCCAAAAAUUAAAUCCAGAUUUGUCUGUUUCCAGGGCCCAAGUUCUUUACUACUAGCAUUCAUGAUCAUGUAGUAAAUAUAUGUUUAAUAACUAGGUGAAUGCAUGUGGAUGCUUGUGUUUGCAUUCAUGUGCAUAAAUAUGACUGAGAAAUAAAGCCAAAAAGAGUAACUGCUAUAAUAUAAAUUCAUCCCUUCAGGUUACUGAAGUGGAUAUUUUACAGGGAAAUUAAUUAGAAAAAGAAAUACCAAUAUGUAGAAAAUUCAUAAGCAUUUUAAUAAUUAGGAAUGAUACACAAUUUAUUCUGCUCAAGGAAAACUAAAUUAAGAAGCAGACUGUAGAUACAGGCAUGAGGAGAUUUGAAAUAUUGAGUAUUGGACCAGUCAAGUCAAAUUAAAAACUUAAGCCAAUUUAACCUCCACUUUGAUGACUUCUUUUGAAGUCUUUAACUGAUGUGUGAAAGAUCAUUUGACUCUCAAGAGUUUCCAUUUCAACUCACUUUCAUUUGUAUUUAUAACACGGGCACAGUUGAGUUUCAGUAGACUUAUAUUUUUUAUCUCUUUAUAUGGGUCACUUUCUGUUUCUUACCCGAUUCUUUACUGCCUUAUGUAUUCAAUAAAAUAAAAUGAUGCCUUUAUUCA
This 2460-nucleotide long non-coding RNA is filed under the name Homo sapiens (human). RNAcentral's name for it is "HSALNT0048042". Lineage: Eukaryota; Metazoa; Chordata; Mammalia; Primates; Hominidae. The record is from RNAcentral.